GACGAACGCUGGCGGCGUGCUUAACACAUGCAAGUCGAACGGAAAGGCCCUGCUUUUGUGGGGUGCUCGAGUGGCGAACGGGUGAGUAACACGUGAGUAACCUGCCCUUGACUUUGGGAUAACUUCAGGAAACUGGGGCUAAUACCGGAUAGGAGCUCCUGCUGCAUGGUGGGGGUUGGAAAGUUUCGGCGGGUGGGGCUGGGCUCGCGGCUUAUGAGCUUGUUGGUGGGGUAGUGGCUUACCAAGGCUUUGACGGGUAGCCGGCCUGAGAGGGUGAGCGGCCACGUUGGGACUGAGCUGCGGCCCAGACUCCUACGGGAGGCAGCAGUGGGGAAGAGUGCACAAUGGGCGGAAGCCUGAUGCAGCAACGCCGCGUGCGGGAUGACGGCCUUCGGGUUGUAAACCGCUUUCGCCUGUGACGAAGCGUGAGUGACGGUAAUGGGUAAAGAAGCACCGGCUAACUACGUG
RNAcentral lists this ribosomal RNA (468 nucleotides) under uncultured bacterium. RNAcentral's name for it is "partial 16S ribosomal RNA". It matches the Rfam family "Bacterial small subunit ribosomal RNA", at positions 28 to 507 of the family's 1533-position model. The record is from RNAcentral.